UCACAAAGGAUAGGACUAGAUAGAAAGUUUGGCUGGGGCGGCACACCUCCGAAAGAGCAGCGAAGGUGUCCUAAGUUGAGCUCAGUGAGGACAGAAAUCUCACGUUGAGGAUAAGGCCAAAAGCUCAAUUUACUGUGCCUUUUGUACUAGGAUCAGUUACGAAAGUAAGGCCUAACGAUCCCUAAAUAGCCUCAGGUGCGUGAGGAUUGGGGUGACAGACAAGUUACCUCCGGGACAACUGGCUUGUGGCUGCUAAGAGAUCAAAUCAACGCAGCUUUUUGAUUCUUCGAUGUCGGCUCUUCCUAUCCUAGUGAUGUACAAGUUGCUAAGGGUCGGAUUGUUCACCCGUAUUAGGGAUCGUGAGCUGGGUUUAGACCGUCGUGAGCCAGGUUUGUUUUAUCCUACUGGAUAUAGCAUCAUGAUAGUAGAUUGAUUUAGUACGAGAGGAACUGUUGAUUAUGGCCUCUGGUUAGCGAUUAUCGGAAACGGUAUGUCGCGCAGCUACGCCGUCUGGGAUAAUGGCUGAAAGCCUCUUAAGCCAGAAGCCCAUCUAGAAAGUGAUGCACGUGAUGUUGGACCGAUACGAAUAAUCAUACUCAAAAGGUCCGCUUCAUAGGUAACCCAAUGUAGAAGACAUUGUGUGAACGAAGGUACUGUAAGCAGUGGAGUGGCAUUACGUCCACGACCUGUUGAGGUUCAGCUUCGCUUCUAGGUUUCC
Molecule: non-coding RNA, 718 nt
Filed under: Trichomonas vaginalis G3
Lineage: Eukaryota; Parabasalia; Trichomonadida; Trichomonadidae
Description: Eukaryotic large subunit ribosomal RNA
Rfam family: Eukaryotic large subunit ribosomal RNA
Source: Rfam by way of RNAcentral